Molecule: ribosomal RNA, 468 nt
Filed under: uncultured bacterium
Lineage: Bacteria
Description: partial 16S ribosomal RNA
Rfam family: Bacterial small subunit ribosomal RNA
Source: RNAcentral
GACGAACGCUGGCGGCGUGCUUAACACAUGCAAGUCGAACGGAAAGGCCCUGCUUUUGUGGGGUGCUCGAGUGGCGAACGGAUGAGUAACACGUGAGUAACCUGCCCUUGACUUUGGGAUAACUUCAGGAAACUGGGGCUAAUACCGGAUAGGAGCUCCUGCUGCAUGGUGGGGGUUGGAAAGUUUCGGCGGUUGGGGAUGGACUCGCGGCUUAUCAGCUUGUUGGUGGGGUAGUGGCUUACCAAGGCUUUGACGGGUAGCCGGCCUGAGAGGGUGACCGGCCACAUUGGGACUGAGAUACGGCCCAGACUCCUACGGGAGGCAGCAGUGGGGAAUAUUGCACAAUGGGCGGAGGCCUGAUGCAGCAACGCCGCGUGCGGGAUGACGGCCUUCGGGUUGUAAACCGCUUUCGCCUGUGACGAAGCGUGAGUGACGGUAAUGGGUAAAGAAGCACCGGCUAACUACGUG